GGAAGAGUGGUGUACAAGGUGUUGCACGCUAGUCUGAAAAACUAGAGGUACAGGUUCAAUUCCUGUCUGUUCCACAA
RNAcentral lists this transfer RNA (77 nucleotides) under Chryseobacterium lactis. Its description in RNAcentral is "tRNA-Phe". It matches the Rfam family "tRNA". From Rfam's summary of the family: Transfer RNA (tRNA) molecules are approximately 80 nucleotides in length. Their secondary structure includes four short double-helical elements and three loops (D, anti-codon, and T loops). The record is from RNAcentral. Lineage: Bacteria; Pseudomonadati; Bacteroidota; Flavobacteriia; Flavobacteriales; Weeksellaceae.